RNAcentral lists this ribosomal RNA (347 nucleotides) under uncultured maize rhizosphere bacterium c2_68. Its description in RNAcentral is "bacterial SSU rRNA". It matches the Rfam family "Bacterial small subunit ribosomal RNA", at positions 975 to 1320 of the family's 1533-position model. The record is from RNAcentral.
CAGCCCUUGACAUCCCGGUCGCGGAUUUCAGAGAUGAAAUCCUUCAGUUCGGCUGGACCGGUGACAGGUGCUGCAUGGCUGUCGUCAGCUCGUGUCGUGAGAUGUUGGGUUAAGUCCCGCAACGAGCGCAACCCUCGCCCUUAGUUGCCAUCAUUUAGUUGGGCACUCUAGGGGGACUGCCGGUGAUAAGCCGGAGGAAGGUGGGGUUGACGUCAAGUCUUCAUGGCCCUUACGGGCUGGGCUACACACGUGCUACAAUGGCGGUGACAGAGGGUUGCUACACAGCGAUGUGAUGCUAAUCCCUAAAAGCCGUCUCAGUUCGGAUUGCACUCUGCAACUCGGGUGCA